UGUUAGCAUAGUUUAACAAAAACAUUAGGAUGUGGCCCUAAAAACAGGAGUUCAACCCUCCUUGCAGACC
RNAcentral lists this transfer RNA (70 nucleotides) under Conolophus pallidus. RNAcentral describes it as "tRNA-His". It matches the Rfam family "tRNA". Rfam says of the family: Transfer RNA (tRNA) molecules are approximately 80 nucleotides in length. Lineage: Eukaryota; Metazoa; Chordata; Lepidosauria; Squamata; Iguanidae. The record is from RNAcentral.